Non-coding RNA from Podarcis lilfordi (Lilford's wall lizard), 87 nucleotides. Lineage: Eukaryota; Metazoa; Chordata; Lepidosauria; Squamata; Lacertidae. The record is from the annotation of a GenBank genome assembly.
CCAGUCAGGCUGGAUAGCUCAGUUGGUUAGAGCAUGGUGCUAAUAAUGCCAAGGUUGCAGGUUCAAUCCCUGUAUGGGAUGACUGCA